AUGUUUCAUUUCAAAUUUCCUGCCCUUAUCAACUUUCGACGGUAGGGUAGUGGCCUACCGUGGUGGUAACGGGUGACGGAGGAUUAGGGUUCGAUUCCGGAGAGGGAGCCUGAGAAACGGCUACCACAUCCAAGGAAGGCAGCAGGCGCGCAAAUUACCCAAAUCCCAACUCGGGGAGGUAGUGACAAGAAAUAACGAUGCUCCGGCCUCACGGUCGGGUAAUCGGAAUGAGAACAAUUUAAAUCCCUUAUCGAGGAUCAAUUGGAGGGCAAGUCUGGUGCCAGCAGCCGCGGUAAUUCCAGCUCCAAUAGCGUAUAUUUAAGUUGCUGCGGUUAAAAAGCUCGUAGUCGGAUUUCGGGUGGCGCCUACCGGUCCGCCUUUGGUGAGUACUGGUAGGUGCCACCUUUCUGCCGAGGACGGGGUACUGGGCUUAACUGUCUGGGCCCCGGAGUCGGCGAUGUCACUUUGAGUAAAUUAGGGUGUUCAAAGCAGGCUUAUGCUCUGUAUACACUAGCAUGGGAUGACACGAUAGGACUUCGGUUUAUCUUGUCGGUCUGUAGAUCGGAGUAAUGAUUAAGAGGGACAGUCGGGGGCAUUCGUAUUUCGUAGUCAGAGGUGAAAUUCUUGGAUUUACGGAAGACGAACUUCUGCGAAAGCAUUUGCCAAGGAUGUUUUCAUUGAUCAAGAACGAAAGUCGGGGGCUCGAAGACGAUUAGAUACCGUCGUAGUCUCGACCAUAAACGAUG
RNAcentral lists this ribosomal RNA (746 nucleotides) under Trentepohliaceae sp. Kukwa 19285. RNAcentral's name for it is "SSU rRNA". It matches the Rfam family "Eukaryotic small subunit ribosomal RNA", at positions 288 to 1041 of the family's 1831-position model. The record is from RNAcentral. Lineage: Eukaryota; Viridiplantae; Chlorophyta; Ulvophyceae; Trentepohliales; Trentepohliaceae.